Molecule: long non-coding RNA, 264 nt
Organism: Beta vulgaris subsp. vulgaris (sugar beet)
Lineage: Eukaryota; Viridiplantae; Streptophyta; Magnoliopsida; Caryophyllales; Amaranthaceae
Exons: 3
Source: RefSeq, a predicted model, not a curated record
UUCUUCUCGUCCUUUCUCUAAACAAAAGAACGGUAUAUGUAUUUGAUUCGCUUAGGAGAUCAGAUAGAUCCUUAGCUAUCAAGGAACCGCUGCAUACUGCAUAUACAUCAUUCCUGCUCCUUGAAGGUAUCAAGGCAACAAAAUUGUCUUGGGUAUCUAUGAAGUGUGCUCAACAAACGGGAGGAGAUGAAUGCGGCUAUUUCGUUAUGAAAUACAUGUUUCAAAUCGUCCGCUUCCUCUAUCAGGCAAAUGAUUUGAAGAAGG